AACUGGCCAUUAACUUAACCAAUUCUAAACUUUCAGACUUCCAAAAAUACCCUUUGGUGCUUAAGAAUUUGCUGUAAUCUAACUGAACAACCCUAAAGCUUAGAAGUGAUCCUAGGUUCAAUUCACCACAGCCCCUAAAGUAAUUAAGCUAAUUCAAACAGACUCUAAAAUUAAGCUAGAUCAAACAUACAAGAUUAAUUAACUGGGAUCCAAACAUCUACACACAUCGAGAGCCUUUGAACUAUUACUACAAGAACAAUAUUAUAGAAG
Molecule: long non-coding RNA, 270 nt
Filed under: Nicotiana benthamiana
Lineage: Eukaryota; Viridiplantae; Streptophyta; Magnoliopsida; Solanales; Solanaceae
Description: long non-coding RNA (NBEN_LNC038546)
Source: RNAcentral